Molecule: long non-coding RNA, 669 nt
Organism: Haemorhous mexicanus (house finch)
Lineage: Eukaryota; Metazoa; Chordata; Aves; Passeriformes; Fringillidae
Exons: 3
Source: RefSeq, a predicted model, not a curated record
GGGGAGGCCCCGCGCCGCCGGCUGUGUGGUGGCGGUGCUGCCUCGGCUCUGGGAGGGUUUGCUUGAUCGGCUGCCCAUCAGUAACGCGGUUUUCCAACUUUUACAGGUUCAGAGUGCUACCUGCCAUUAUAUCCAUCAAUUUCAAACUGCCAAGCUCAUUGCUUCUGCUGCUGACAUUUUGCUAUUCAAUUCUGGAGUCUGAACAACGACAUGUGGUGUUGUUUGUACUCUGGGCUGCUCUAAAUACUCACACAAAAUGGUAAACUUUUGGUGCCUCUCUGCCGGAAUCUGCAUCAUUAAGUGUUGACAGCUCUAAAAGCAGAACAAGCUGACUGAGGCAGAUCCUGUCUGUUCAGAACCUUCCCUGCAGGUUACCAGCCACCCCCCAGGACAUCUAAAUGUCUUGUGUUCCUGUUACAGAACUGCUGCAGUUUGCAAUACAGUUUGUUAAAAGACCCUGAAAUUAGUAAUGUUUUCAUAAAGUUGGUGGUAAACUGCUGUUAUUCAAGAGUUAUUCUUUGGGCCAUCACUGCUUGCUCAGAAGAAAGGCAGGAGAGCAGCACACAGUCUCCCUAGAUUCAGGCAUCCCAAUCUUUACUGCUUUUGUGCAGCUGAUUGGGUCACUCAACAGUGCUGCUAACAUGCCAUGUGAAUACAACCACAAGAGCU